This 495-nucleotide ribosomal RNA is filed under the name uncultured bacterium. Its description in RNAcentral is "partial 16S ribosomal RNA". It matches the Rfam family "Bacterial small subunit ribosomal RNA", at positions 28 to 507 of the family's 1533-position model. The record is from RNAcentral.
GAUGAACGCUGGCGGCGUGCCUAAUACAUGCAAGUCGAACGCAGAAGGAGGAGCUUGCUCUUCUGGACGAGUUGCGAACGGGUGAGUAACGCGUAGGUAACCUGCCUGUUAGCGGGGGAUAACUAUUGGAAACGAUAGCUAAUACCGCAUGACAACAGUUAUUGCAUGAUAACUGUUUAAAAGGGGCAACUGUUCCACUACCAGAUGGACCUGCGUUGUAUUAGCUAGUUGGUGUGGUAACGGCUCACCAAGGCGACGAUACAUAGUCGACGUGGGAGGGGGAUCAGCCACACUGGGACUGAGACACGGCCCAGACUCCUACGGGGGGCAGCCGUAGGGAAUCGUCAGCAAUGGGCGGAAGGCUGACCGAGAAACGCCGCGGGAGGAAAGAAGGUUUUCGGGUCGGAAAGAUCUGUUGUAUGGGAAGAACGAGUUUGGGAGUGGAAUGUUCACGCUGUGACGGUAUCUUACCAGAAAGCAACGGCUAACUACGUG